This 71-nucleotide transfer RNA is filed under the name Candidatus Nanohalococcus occultus. RNAcentral's name for it is "Candidatus Nanohaloarchaeota archaeon SVXNc tRNA-Cys". It matches the Rfam family "tRNA". Rfam says of the family: Transfer RNA (tRNA) molecules are approximately 80 nucleotides in length. Their secondary structure includes four short double-helical elements and three loops (D, anti-codon, and T loops). The record is from RNAcentral. Lineage: Archaea; Nanobdellati; Candidatus Nanohalarchaeota.
GCCGGGAUGGCAGAGUAGUUAUGCAUCCGCCUGCAGAGCGGACGACCAGGGUGCAAAUCCCUGUCCCGGCU